Molecule: ribosomal RNA, 525 nt
Filed under: [Epicladonia] stenospora
Lineage: Eukaryota; Fungi; Ascomycota; Lecanoromycetes; Lecanorales; Pilocarpaceae
Description: eukaryotic LSU rRNA
Rfam family: Eukaryotic large subunit ribosomal RNA
Source: RNAcentral
CCAACAGGGAUUCCCUCAGUAACGGCGAGUGAAGCGGGAACAGCUCAAAUUUGAAAUCUGGNNNNNNNCGAGUUGUAAUUUGCAGAGGAGUCUUCGGAGGAGGUGAGAGCUAAGUCCUUUGGAACAGGGUGUCAUAAAGGGUGAAAUCCCGUAUGUUGUCUACAACCAUAGUCUAUGUGAAAUUCAUUCUCCAAGACUAGUUGUUUGGGAAUGCGCCUCAAAAUGGGUGGGAAAUUUCCUCUCAAGCUAAAUAUUGGCCAGAGACCGAUAGCGCACAAGUAGAGUGAUCGAAAGAUAAAAAGCACUUUGUAAAGAGAGUUAAAAAGUACGUGAAAUUGUGAAAGGGAAGCGUUUGCCACCCCACCUGUGUGUGGGUGAUCAGCCGUUGUUCUCAGCCGUGCACUCACCCCCAUGGAGGCNNGCUUCGUUUGGGCGGCGGGAGAAUGGCUUUGGGAAUGUGGCUUCCUUCGGGAAGUCUUAUAGCUCGUUGUGCAAUCCGGCAGCCCAGAUCGAAGACCGCGCUUC